This 250-nucleotide ribosomal RNA is filed under the name uncultured prokaryote. Its description in RNAcentral is "partial 16S ribosomal RNA". It matches the Rfam family "Bacterial small subunit ribosomal RNA", at positions 524 to 773 of the family's 1533-position model. The record is from RNAcentral.
UACGUAUGGUGCAAGCGUUAUCCGGAUUUACUGGGCGUAAAGGGUGCGUAGGUGGUAUGGCAAGUCAGAAGUGAAAACUUUGGGCUCAACCCGGAGACUGCUUUUGUAACUGUCAUACUGGAGUGCAGGAGAGGAAAGCGGAAUUCCUAGUGUAGCGGAGAAAUGCGUAGAUAUUAGGAGGAACACCAGUGGCGAAGGCGGCUUUCUGAACUGUUACUGACACUGAGGCACGAGAGCGCGGGGAGCAAAC